Molecule: unclassified non-coding RNA, 1679 nt
Filed under: Hevea brasiliensis (rubber tree)
Lineage: Eukaryota; Viridiplantae; Streptophyta; Magnoliopsida; Malpighiales; Euphorbiaceae
Source: RNAcentral
GAGGGUGGUUUUGGUCAAGUUUAUGAGGGAUCCCUAGAUGGUAAAACCUUUGCUAUUAAGAAACUUAGAUAUCUUCCGGAUCAAUUAGAGCACGAGAUCAGGGUCGUUAGCGGUAUCAGUCACCGAAAUCUUGUGAAGCUGGUUGGUUACUGCAUCGAAGCACAAGAACGGAAUGCAUUGCUUGUUUUAGAGUAUUUUCCCAAGAAGUCCUUGAAGGUUAAUUUACAUAAUGAAGAGGCGAUUUUGGACUGGCCAACAAGAAUGAAAAUUGCUAAAGGUACUGCGAAAGGAUUGCAGUAUCUACAUGAAGACUGUGAAACUAAAAUCAUACACCAAGAUAUUAAACCAGAUAAUAUUCUUCUUGAUAACAACUUUGAACCAAAGAUUGCAGAUUUUGGACUUGCCUUAGUUUUUCCGGAUCAUAAUACUCAUAUCUCCACAUCAACUGUGGGAACCGAAGUUUAUCGAGAACGUUCUAAAAAGGUCUCCGAUAAGUCAGAUGUUUACUCUUUUGGUGUUGUCCUUUUAGAGCUGAUUACCGGAAGAAAACCCAUACAUGAAGACAUUGACAUCAUCGCAUGGGCAAGAACUCGAAUUCUUCAAGCUUUGAAGGAUGAAAAUGAGGGUUUUGUUGAUUCCAAUUUGCAUAACUAUAAUGAACGUGAAAUGAAACGAAUGAUUUAUUGUGCUGGAGCUUGUGUAUAUAAUUAUUCAGAAUUUCGUCCACCAAUGAAAAAGGUACUUCAAACUCUUGAAGGAGAUACACCUUUACCGAAUUUACGAGAUGAGAAAAUUGACAACAAAAAAGAUCCUUUUCCAAUGGGCGUUUCCGAAACAAGUUCAAGUGCUGCAGGUGCUGGACCUUUUGAUGUUUUACGGAACAGUCCAGAGUUCCAAGCAUUUAGAGAUAUGGUCCAGGCUAAUCCACAUCUAUUGCAGCCUAUGCUUCAAGAGUGGGAGAAAGAAAAUCCUCCUCUAUGGAGACUUAUUCAAGAGAAUCGGGCUGAAUUUCUUCGCCUCAUCAAUGAACCUUCUGAAGGGCGGCAUCUUAUACCUUACUACCAGGUUAUACGUCCUGAUAGCGGGAACUCUCGCCGUGACAAUUUCUUCCCGGAUUUCUAAAGAAUUAAUAAAAAUUUUUGCUUAAAAAAAAAAAAAAGAACCUGUUGAAGGUGGAGAAGGGAACAUCUUGGGGCAGCUGCAAGCAGCAAUGCCACAGACAGUAACAGUUACACCUGAGGAACGUGAAGCAAUAGAACGUCUUGAAGCGAUGGGUUUUGAUCGGGCACUUGUAUUAGAGGUGUUCUUUGCCUGCAACAAGAAUGAGGAGCUGGCUGCGAACUACCUUCUAGAUCAUAUGCAUGAGUUUGAGGAUUAAUUUUAUUGGAAAUACUCCCAAUCCUAUGCCAGGAGAUUUUUUUUUUUCUUUUUACCCUCUUUAUGCUCCUCAACUUCGUUUUAUAACUAAGUUUGGAGUUCUAUAAUUUGUGAAGUUUCUAGUCCACGAGCUAAAUGUAGCAUUCCAUCCUCCAGUUUCUCCCGUUUUAGGAUUUUAUUGAUACUUUACAUGCUUCUCUCGGUAAUUAGUUUUCAUUAUGUAUACUUACAGAAUUGUGGUAAUGAAAUUGGUUUCCGAAAUUUGCUUGACUGACUAAAAAAAUAAAAGUACUUCGUUCUGG